RNAcentral lists this ribosomal RNA (346 nucleotides) under uncultured eukaryote. RNAcentral's name for it is "SSU rRNA". It matches the Rfam family "Eukaryotic small subunit ribosomal RNA", at positions 594 to 945 of the family's 1831-position model. The record is from RNAcentral.
AUAGCGUAUAUUAAAGUUGUUGCAGUUAAAAAGCUCGUAGUUGAACUUCGGGCCUGGCUGGGCGGUCAGCCUAACGGCGUGUACUGUCCGGCUGGGCCUUACCUCUUGGUGAGCCGGCGUGUCCUUUAUUGGGUGGGUCGGGGAACCAGGACUUUUACCUUGAGAAAAUUAGAGUGUUCAAAGCAGGCCUAUGCCCGAAUACAUUAGCAUGGAAUAAUAAAAUAGGACGUGCGGUUCUAUUUUGUUGGUUUCUAGAGUCGCCGUAAUGAUUAAUAGGGAUAGUUGGGGGCAUUAGUAUUGAGUCGCUAGAGGUGAAAUUCUUGGAUUGACUCAAGACCAACUACUG